UUUAAAUAUGACAAUGUGCUUUUCAGUUCAGUCGGUAACCUCAAAAUGAUGUCUGAAAUGGACUAAGCUAUCACUCAAGUUCAGCAAAUACAAGCAAGAGCGAACUUGAUAAGUAAAUUUAGCAAAUUCCACAUAAAACAAUACUUCCCAGACAGGAGUGGAAAUGAUAUCGUUCCCUGUGUCUCUCUCUGAUUUUAUAUCAGGAUGAACCCUAGGGGGUAUCCGGUUGAUCCUAGACUCCUCAGCCUCUACAUUGAUCCCAGGUGCUGUCUGCAUUCAUAACCAAGCUCUUCCUGUAAUCCUGGAUUACCAGAGUGCUCCAGUCUCUGAUAUCAUGUGGAUGUUGCUAAGAGAUCUGAUUCCUGCGUAUACCAGAAUGAAGAAUGAUAUGACAAGAUUUAUUGCUUUCAUCCUAAUCUGUGUGAAGUAAUCUGUUUGGGGAUGUAAUUCACAUGGUAUGUCUUUUGACUUGGAUUAGCACAUUCUAUCCUCUUAGCAAACAGCUCAGUGAAGUUAUCAAUGACAUAGAGGUCCCCAAGAGCCGGGAGAAUCCAUCCAGCCAAAACCACCCAGCUAAUUCUCAUUCGCUCUAAUCUUCCCAAAUCGCAACCUCUGAGUAUCUCAUAAAAGACAUCACAAAGAGUGCUCAGGAUUAUUCUGGGGUCACAAAUUGACUCCGCUGUCCUAAAUGCUUGUCAAUUAGAUAUAAAGUCUCAAAGAAUAACUGAGUGCUCCUAUAAUCAGUGGCAAGAAAAUUAGCCAUUUAAAUGAGUCUCUGUAAUUCAGCACAUCCCUGUGUUUUCACUUUGAAACUGGAGUUUAUUUACAUAGACUUUCAUUAAUCAGUCUCAGAUUCCUUUGUUAUGUGCGAUUAUGAAUAUAGCCUGCAGAUUUCUGAUUUGAUUAUUGAUCAUUUUUGUUCUGUUUGUUUUAUAGGCCGCCAGUACUCCAUCAAUCAUGCUGUUCUAGGAUCUGUCUCUCUGUGUGAGAAUGAGUGAAUUAUUCCCUUUAAUACUACAUGCAUUUGGAACAAAUAAACGUCUGCGUCUGAUCCUGUCGGUUGUGCUCUGUUUCUCAAGCGAUUUAUCCCAGUUCAUGUCUGCUGUCACACACUCACAAAGCUCCCCUACUUCACUACAAUCCCAUUUCAUCAAAUAACUCUACAAAAAAAAAAUCCACAAAUCGCAUAAAUCCUUGACUCUCUAUUCCUGAUCCUCACGGAUUCUUUAUAAUUUAAUAAACAGGAUUAAAGUCAUCUGCUGAAGCAGUGUAGCCUUGUUUCAUUUUUCUGU
Molecule: long non-coding RNA, 1292 nt
Organism: Megalobrama amblycephala (Wuchang bream)
Lineage: Eukaryota; Metazoa; Chordata; Actinopteri; Cypriniformes; Xenocyprididae
Exons: 3
Source: RefSeq, a predicted model, not a curated record